AUGAUUGGUGAAAUGGAUGUGGAUAGCGUUGUAGAAUACUUCAGGGGCAAGAGCAUCCUCAUCGCUGGAUCAACGGUGUUCCUAGCAAAAGUGCUUGUCGAGAAGAUAUUGAGGGUUCAGCCUGAUGUCAAGAAGCUCUUCCUCUUGAUUCGGGCCUCCGAUGUUGAAUCCGCAAAGCUUCGGAUUCAAAAUGAGGUCAUAGGGAGGGAGAUCUUUCAAGUGCUCAAAGAAGAACAUGGUGUGGGGUUCCAUAAUUUCGUCGAAGAAAAGAUCUGCCCUUUGGUGGGAGACAUCACGCAUGAGGACUUUGGACUAGACACUGCCAAGCUGAGAGAAGUGUCGAAGGACAUAGACAUUAUUGUCAACGUAGCUGCCACUACGAAAUUCUCUGAAAGAUAUGAUGUGGCUUUCGAUGUGAAUGUCUUGGGAGUGAAGCAUGUUUGCGCAUUCGCAAAGAAGUGUAUUAAGCUCAAGAUGUUGCUUCAUGUUUAA
Molecule: ribosomal RNA, 492 nt
Filed under: Triticum aestivum (bread wheat)
Lineage: Eukaryota; Viridiplantae; Streptophyta; Magnoliopsida; Poales; Poaceae
Description: partial small subunit ribosomal RNA
Source: RNAcentral